This 497-nucleotide ribosomal RNA is filed under the name uncultured bacterium. RNAcentral's name for it is "partial 16S ribosomal RNA". It matches the Rfam family "Bacterial small subunit ribosomal RNA", at positions 28 to 507 of the family's 1533-position model. The record is from RNAcentral.
GAUGAACGCUGGCGGCGUGCCUAAUACAUGCGAGUCGAGCGAACAGACGAGGUGCUUGCUCCUCUGACGUUAGCGGCGGACGGGUGAGUAACACGUGGAUAACCUACCUAUAAGACUGGGAUAACUUCGGGAAACCGGAGCUAAUACCGGAUAAUAUAUUGAACCGCAUGGUUCAAUAGUGAAAGACGGUUUUGCUGUCACUUAUAGAUGGAUCCGCGCCGCAUUAGCUAGUUGGUAAGGUAACGGCUUACCAAGGCAACGAUGCGUAGCCGACCUGAGAGGGUGAUCGGCCACACUGGAACUGAGACACGGUCCAGACUCCUACGGGAGGCAGCAGUAGGGAAUCUUCCGCAAUGGGCGAAAGCCUGACGGAGCAACGCCGCGUGAGUGAUGAAGGUCUUCGGAUCGUAAAACUCUGUUAUUAGGGAAGAACAAAUGUGUAAGUAACUAUGCACGUCUUGACGGUACCUAAUCAGAAAGCCACGGCUAACUACGUG